GAGAAGAGAGAGAAAGUGAUGAGAAGAAGAAAGAGAAAGAUGGGGGUGAUGAGAAGACGAUCCAUUGGUGAUGAGUAGUGGGAAGUUAGUGGGAAUGGUGAGUGUUUGAUUGAUUUUGAGGUUUCAAAGUUGUUACCUUUUUGUUUUUCAUUUUCGUUUUCUAUUGAUUUUUUGAGGUCCAGAGGAAUAAAGAAAGGAAAAGUUGAUACAGUGAAGAAACAGCGCGAAAAAAAGAAGAGGGAGGCACUGAGGUAGGGAGAAAUCAGAAAAAGAAAGAGACUGGGAGGGUUUUGGCAUCUUUUAUCACUUUCCUUUUAUAUUCCACUUUCAAUUUUUACGGGGUACAUUUGCUCAAAUUGAAGAUUUGGAUUCUAUUGAAAAUGAUUACUUCUCAAAUUGUGACUUUGUUAUCUCCUACGACUCUUCCUCAAAAUACGAUAAGAUCUGCGUACACAUUAUCCUCUUUAGAUCUCAUUAGUAGAAUUAUACUGGUAUGUUAUUGUCAUAUCUCCUUUUAUUGAUUUUCAGGUUUCAAGUAAGUUUCAAAGUAGUCACUUUGUUUUUCGUUUUCGUUUUCUAUUGGUUUCCAGAGGAAUAAAGAAAGGAAAAGUUGAUACAGGGAAGAAACAGCGCGAAAAAAAUAGAAAGAGAGGGAGGCACUGAGGUAGGCACUGAUACAGGGUACUUUUGCUCAAAUUGAAGAUUUGGAUUCUAUUGAAAAUGGUUACUUCUCAAACGGCCGCUUUUCAAAUUGUGACUUUGUAUGUUGCUCUUUAUCUUUUUU
RNAcentral lists this long non-coding RNA (784 nucleotides) under Nicotiana benthamiana. Its description in RNAcentral is "long non-coding RNA (NBEN_LNC034535)". The record is from RNAcentral. Lineage: Eukaryota; Viridiplantae; Streptophyta; Magnoliopsida; Solanales; Solanaceae.